AUUCAGUGGUAGCGUGAGAGAGGAUUUCCCAUUUCUAACCCUCAGCUGAUCUGCCUGCAAGGAAGAGGGGAAAUGCCAUGGGUUCCAGAUUUAAGGGAAAUUCAGGAUGAAGAAGACCAAAGCACUUGACCGACUGUACGUUGUGAGACCCUUCGGUUCAACAUCAUGAGCCUCAGCUACUUCCUGACUGCUAUCCAUUCCAUCUAUUGAGGUUUCUUUUUCUGCAGAGAGAGAGAGAGAGAGAAAAAAAAAGGGAGGCUGGAUGACUUAAUGGGAGGAGAAAGAGAUGAACAAAGAUUAUGUGGAGAAGAGCAACUGAUGUGUCAAAUGCUAUCGCCCAGGUUUGGAAUGUCAAGGAAAGGCAGAGGAAGGUGGCAGGCCUUUUUGUGUUUGGGCUUACUUCCUUGUGAGGUGGGACAUGCCAGCACACUCUGGGAUGGAAGAAAUGCCAAAAUGACUUCCAAAGUGGCUGUGCCAUUUUGCACGUCUUUCCGCAAUGAAUGAGGGUUCCUGUUGCUCCGCACCCCUAUCAGCAUUUUGUACAUCAGGUUU
Long non-coding RNA from Zalophus californianus (California sea lion), 552 nucleotides. RefSeq lists it as uncharacterized. The transcript is spliced from 5 exons. Lineage: Eukaryota; Metazoa; Chordata; Mammalia; Carnivora; Otariidae. The record is from RefSeq and is a predicted model, not a curated record.